Long non-coding RNA from Xenia sp. Carnegie-2017, 1110 nucleotides. RefSeq lists it as uncharacterized. The transcript has 2 exons. NCBI's taxonomy places the organism in Eukaryota, Metazoa, Cnidaria, Anthozoa, Malacalcyonacea, Xeniidae. The record is from RefSeq and is a predicted model, not a curated record.
AUAUUCUAUUGGUCAAUAUACGCGUGUGCAUGCGCGCCAUUGGAUAAUAGUCGUGUGUGAUGAAGACUGUAAAGUAAAACGCGGCAGUAACAUGCUUGAACACUAACAAAAUUCAUGACGUUAAUUGCCUUGCUAAGCUUUUAAACUUUUUUUUUGUCUGUGGUUGGGUUUGAACACAUCUUUGAUCGCGUGCAUCUCAGCCAACGACCUGUGAAGUGGACUAGUGUUAAUGAAAUUAAAUUACAACAGUUCGUUGUUGAAUGUAUCCAUCUACAAAAUACUUAAAAUGUCGUCCGAAAGAAAGAAAAACAGCGACAUUCGUCUUUGAAAGACAAGAUAAUGAAGCCUGUGGGAUUUAUAACAAUUUAUAUGUAGGCAAUUUCAAAGAUAAGUGUUUUUCUUUAUGUACAUGUCCACUCCGUAGGUGUUCAUCAUCUUCCUUCAAGAAUGCCAAAAUAAACGAACUAAUUGACUGUUUUCGUGAGACGAGAAGUUGCGGUAUCGGAAACACGUUCUAUUUAUCGAUUUACUGGCAAGAUUUCUAUCACAUGUGAUCAUUAUCAUCCAUUGGUAUGUUUACAUACGCAAUGUGGGCUAGGUUGGUUCGGGUUUCUUCUAGUAUUUAUACAUUCUAUAAGUUAUAGUUGCUCUUUCGCAUCACUUCAGUUUAAUGAAGUUUAAUUGGAUAUACUUCAUCCUGCCGGCUUAGCGCUUGUAGGAUAUUAUCGUUUAUCUUUUCCGACUUAUUGCAUCUCAUAGACAAGAACUGUUGGAGGGUUGAGCUUAAAGCAAAAUAAAUCACACCAUAUUGCAUCAUAUCGGGUGUGUUUACAUUUAAAAAUGUUUUCGAAGCAGUAAAUUAUAGUCGUAACGUUUUAUUCUUUAGAAAUUUACUACGGAAAGGAUUUUUACGGAGACAUAUUUUGAAUUUAAAACAGAGCUGUUGUAAUUUCUUUUUGUCUAACUCUGGAGCCACGAGUUUUUAAAACAUUCCUCCUUCAAAAGUUAUUUGCGUGCAAUGAAUUAUUGAUGUUUUUUGUUAAGUUUGCACGAUAACAGUUUGAAGUAAGAUUUGCUAUCUUAUUAAAGCUUCGUUAAUCAUAUUAAAAA